RNAcentral lists this ribosomal RNA (538 nucleotides) under uncultured bacterium. RNAcentral's name for it is "bacterial SSU rRNA". It matches the Rfam family "Bacterial small subunit ribosomal RNA", at positions 235 to 770 of the family's 1533-position model. The record is from RNAcentral.
GGCUGAUUAGGUAGUUGGCGGGGUAACGGCCCACCAAGCCUGCGAUCAGUAACUGGUGUGAGAGCACGACCAGUCACACGGGCACUGAGACACGGGCCCGACUCCUACGGGAGGCAGCAGUAAGGAAUAUUGGGCAAUGGACGCAAGUCUGACCCAGCCAUGCCGCGUGGAGGAUGAAGGCCCUCUGGGUUGUAAACUUCUUUUCUCUGGGGCGAAAAACAGGUUUUCUAACUUGCUUGACAGUACCAGAGGAAUAAGCACCGGCUAACUCCGUGCCAGCAGCCGCGGUAAUACGGAGGGUGCAAGCGUUAUCCGGAUUCACUGGGUUUAAAGGGUGCGUAGGUGGGUUGGUAAGUCAGUGGUGAAAUCUCCGGGCUUAACCUGGAAACUGCCAUUGAUACUAUCAAUCUUGAAUACCUUGGAGGUAAGCGGAAUAUGUCAUGUAGCGGUGAAAUGCUUAGAUAUGACAUAGAACACCAAUUGCGAAGGCAGCUUACUACACGGUCAUUGACACUGAGGCACGAAAGCGUGGGGAUCA